ACUCCAACCCACCAUGCACGAAACCAAACAAACAUUAAAAAAAAAAAAAAACGCCAAUAAUUCACGGACUCUGUUUGUGGUUUCGCUUUCACGGUUUCACCAUCACUAAUUUCAACCCCUACUGUCGGUUUCUCCUCUUUCUUUGGGGGGUUUGUGCAGGGUUUAUCAUCUCAAACCCCAAUAUAUCAUUAGCUUCAAACACACACACAUACGCACAAAAAUGGGGUCUUUGGAAAAUGGGGUUGAGCAACUAACACUACAUGACAGAGAAGAAGAGCCAAUAUUGAAAGAGCAAAACCAGAGGUUUUGCAUGUUUCCCAUAAGGUACAAGCAGCUUUGGGAGAUGUACAAGAAGGCUCAAGCCAGUUUCUGGACCGCUGAGGAGGUUGAUCUUUCCCAGGAUAUGAGGCAGUGGGAAACUCUGUCUGACUCUGAGAAACACUUCAUUAGCCAUGUGCUGGCAUUUUUUGCCGCAUCUGAUGGGAUUGUAUUGGAGAAUUUAGCUGCUAGAUUUCUAAAUGAUGUUCAAGUACCAGAGGCUCGGGCAUUCUAUGGAUUUCAAAUUGCAAUGGAGAAUGUUCACUCUGGUAGAGCUUUGCUACCUGACUUAAAUAUGUUCUGCUGCCUAUUUUCAGAAAUGUACAGCUUGCUUCUAGAGACAUAUAUCAAGGAUUCAAAAGAGAAGCAUAGAUUGUUCAAUGCAAUUGAAAACAUUCCUUGUGUGGCUAGGAAGGCUAAGUGGGCUUUAGAUUGGAUUCAUAGCUCCACCUUGUUUGCAGAGAGAAUUGUUGCUUUUGCAUGUGUUGAAGGAAUCUUUUUCUCAGGAAGCUUCUGUUCCAUAUUCUGGCUUAAAAAGAGGGGAAUGAUGCCAGGCUUGACAUUCUCAAAUGAGCUUAUUUCUAGAGACGAAGGCCUCCAUUGUGACUUUGCUUGCCUUCUUUACAGUUUGUUAAGGAAUCAAUUACAUUGGGAAAAGGUUCAUCACAUUGUACAUGAAGCUGUUGAAAUUGAGACGCAAUUUGUGUGCGAGGCCCUUCCAUGUGCGUUGAUUGGCAUGAAUUCAAUACUCAUGAGCCAGUAUAUAAAGUUUGUAGCUGACCGACUUUUGGUUUCAUUAGGGUGCCAGAGGAAAUACAAUGUGGAAAAUCCUUUUGAUUGGAUGGAAUUUAUUUCUCUGCAGUGAGUAUUGAUGAAAGCAUGCUUAGGUUCUGAUUUUAUUCUUUAAAUUAACUCAAGCAAAGGUUAAAAGUACUGCUGAUCUCAUUAGGAUUUCCUUUCAUUUUCAAGUAGGUUGUAACCCCUUGAGGGUGCCUCUUAGAAGGCUUUAACAGCCAGAUAUUUUUCUUUGAAAACCAAUUGAUUUAUGGGUUUCCACCAUCCCCUGCAUUAUGAUAAAAUAUUAGGUCUAUCAUAUUUUCGUAAGUAUAAUCAUAUCACUAUUAGCACCUGCAGGGACCAAUCAAAUAUUGGUCCCUGACGUAAAUUAUCAAACCAUGUUUACAAGAAUUGAGGUGUGAACAGCCAGACUUGAUGGAAGUAUGGGAUAAGGCUUAAGAGCCACUUAGGAAGUCAGACUUAUUUGAGUUGGUGAUAUGUUUGGCCAAAAUAAACAGAGGAAAGGCAAACUUUUUUGAAAGAAGGGUGGGCGAAUAUCAAAAGGCAUCUGUAAUGUCAAGCCUUCAAGAUGGUGGAAAAAACUUUGUCUUUAAGCUGGAUGAGGACUUCUAAUCAUACUUAUCCCACUCCCUCAAGUAUCAUACAGAUGCUAGAACUGGGCAUCAAAAUUUUGUUACUAUUCUUCAUGGUAACCUGUUGUGUAUAACUCUAUUCCAAUUAUAAGCAAUUCAAAGGCAUCAUCAAGGCCUAGUUUAAAAUUGUAAUUUUUAUUAGAAAAAAAUUUUAUUUGAACUUGUAAAAACUUGUCAUAUGUACAGUAUACUAAGGUAGCGUGUCUUCUUAUCUAUGAUUUUUAGUGGCUGUCAUAAUCAAAAUGAUGGCAUUGAUCUUUUUUUUUAUA
This is an RNA transcript of Quercus robur (English oak), 2017 nucleotides long. It is a transcript of the gene named ribonucleoside-diphosphate reductase small chain A, with no coding region annotated. The transcript is spliced from 9 exons. The record is from RefSeq and is a predicted model, not a curated record. NCBI's taxonomy places the organism in Eukaryota, Viridiplantae, Streptophyta, Magnoliopsida, Fagales, Fagaceae.